CUCCCGAACCAUACCAUCCUGAAAUCACUUGAUCCCAUUGAAUCUUGGAAGCUAAGCAAGGAUGGUUCCUGUUACUAUUUGGAUGA
Molecule: ribosomal RNA, 86 nt
Filed under: Mesocricetus auratus (golden hamster)
Lineage: Eukaryota; Metazoa; Chordata; Mammalia; Rodentia; Cricetidae
Source: RNAcentral